AACUAGUGAUCUACUAGCUCA
This 21-nucleotide non-coding RNA is filed under the name Arabidopsis thaliana (thale cress). The record is from RNAcentral. Lineage: Eukaryota; Viridiplantae; Streptophyta; Magnoliopsida; Brassicales; Brassicaceae.